UACGUAGGGGGCAAGCGUUGUCCGGAAUCAUUGGGCGUAAAGCGCGUGUAGGCGGUUCGAUUAGUCUGCUGUGAAAGUCGGGGGCUCAACCCUCGAAUGCCGGUGGAUACUGUCGGGCUAGAGUGCGGAAGAGGCGAGUGGAAUUCCUGGUGUAGCGGUGAAAUGCGCAGAUAUCAGGAGGAACACCAAUUGCGAAGGCAGCGCGCUGGGACGUUACUGACGCUGAGACGCGAAAGCGUGGGGAGCAAACAGG
This 253-nucleotide ribosomal RNA is filed under the name uncultured bacterium. Its description in RNAcentral is "partial 16S ribosomal RNA". It matches the Rfam family "Bacterial small subunit ribosomal RNA", at positions 524 to 776 of the family's 1533-position model. The record is from RNAcentral.